This 390-nucleotide ribosomal RNA is filed under the name Triticum aestivum (bread wheat). RNAcentral's name for it is "partial small subunit ribosomal RNA". Lineage: Eukaryota; Viridiplantae; Streptophyta; Magnoliopsida; Poales; Poaceae. The record is from RNAcentral.
AUGAUUCAGAGUUACUGGUGGGGCGCUUAUAGAGGGAAGCGGAAGACGCACUGUAAGGCGUGGGAUUAUCUUCUGAAACCUAAAUCAUGUGGUGGUAUGGGGUUCAAGGAUUUCCGAAUGUUCAACCAAGCUAUGCUGACGAGACAAGCAUGGCGUAUAUUGGUGAAUCCUGCGACCUUGUGUGCACGAAUUUUGAGGGCACGCUAUUUCCCAAAUGGUCGUCUAGAGGACACAGUAUUUUCAACCAAUGCAUCACAAACUUCGCAAUCCAUAGUGCAUGGCCUGGAGCUGUUAAAAAAAGGCCUUGUAUGGCGAAUAGGAAACGGGCAUUCAGUCAGAAUAUGGCGAGACUCAUGGAUACUGCAUCCUACAGGUCGGCCACCCAUCUAG